RNA transcript from Lolium rigidum, 5996 nucleotides. RefSeq lists it as uncharacterized. The record is from RefSeq and is a predicted model, not a curated record. Lineage: Eukaryota; Viridiplantae; Streptophyta; Magnoliopsida; Poales; Poaceae. The transcript is spliced from 2 exons.
CUAUUUUUGCAGUAAAAACUGUUAUCUUCAGUUGUUCACUCAUGCCGUGAGUGCAUAACCACACUGUAAAUAUUACAUUUCUUACCAUAAUUUAUACUUUUCAUCAGAGAAAAGUUUCUUGUAGCUUCAGUUUGUGUUUUCUUGUGAUUUCCAAGUCCUGACGCUUAGGUAACUGGAUCUGCUUGACUAAUAACAUCGACACUCAGCAGGAAAUUCUGUAGUUUGCCAUGUUAUUCUUCAGGCAACUAUUACCAAAACUGGCACUCACAACCAUGGUACCACAAGGAUUGAGUAAUGCUGGUACAUGGGUUCGAGUUGAUUUUUCAACAUCCAAAGUGGAUGCAAUUAUCAGUUCUCUGGUGUUUUGAGACCACAUAAUGUGAAGCACUGACAUGACAAACUACUUUUCGGUCACUGCAUCUGUAGGUAACCCAAAAUCAAGCACAUUUCAUAACUUUUCAUGGUGACAGUACUAAUUCUUAUGUUGUAUGUCAUCUCGUAGCUGCUGAUAGAAUGGACAUAAUGGAUUAGACAUUACAUUGACUUCAAAAGGAGGUCAAUCAUCAAAUAGUAGUUCCGGCCCCGGGCCACUUUAUUUGAUGUCAAAUCAACUUUUGGUUUUUUAUGUACAACAGUUUUUGCCCAACCGAUGUGAUGUUCUGGAAUUAUCCCGAUUUCCUUAAUGAUAUAUGGCGUGCAUAUAUGAAAUGAUGCUUUCUGAUUUUGUCUGCAAAGUGUUGAAUCCUUCUGAAUUUACCACUCAGUUAAUUAACACGGUUUAUAUAAUUGAUGCACCUCUGGUAAUAAUAAUAAUUGCAUUAAGACCAAUGUGUUAAUCUUUUUUUCUUCUGGUAAUUUACUUUGUCAAAAACUCAAAAUGAAUUGUUAUGGAGCCGUUAAUGCAAGCAUGAAAUUUGAAAUACUUAUGGAAAAAUGACUUUUUUUUGCAGGGAUAUGGCAAAAUGAUUUUUUUUUGCGGGGAUAUGGUAAAAUGAUUUGACAUACUAGGAUGACAUGCUAGUGUCAUAGCUGAGUGCUAUAGAUGCCAAGUGUGACAUGCUAAUGCAGAUGGCAAUAUCUUUAGGGUGCAAUAAUUACUAUUUAGAUGAUUUGCAAUUAAUCCAGACAAGUAGCAGAUUGAAACAAAACUGGAUUGCUACCAAAUCUGCUAAGACCAUUGAAGAUCCUUCUAGUUCCAAUAUCGUUACAAUUAUGUUGGACACUUUUUGUACCAGACCAUCUAGUAACAUGCACUAAUCGGUAGCAAAAAUAGUACGCUUUCUACUUUAGCUUUGUGUUGUGCCAUAUUCCAUCAGUUACUUUCUACAACAACAUAAAAUAGUUUAGCCUCCAAGCAUUCAAAAUAUGCUUAGAACUUGAACUAUCUUGAUCAACCUGGUACUGUACGGAUGUAAUUUCAUUCUAUCUUCAUGUUUUUCGCCUCAUGAUCUAAAUCCCAGAUAGCUCCCUGUUUCUGUUAAAUGUCUAAUAUGCAUAUACUGAUAUGAAUUUGCAAGUUGAGCCCGGGCUCCUCGGGUCCCUGUUUUUUAAAGAAUCCAAAAAACUCAUGAAGUUCUUAUUUACCACAAAUACAUACACACCUUAACUACGUACCUGUAAUUUUUUAUAAAAAAUAUGUUAAUUUGAGGGCUACAGAAGAAAAAAACAGAAAUAUGGGUCUAUAAUAGAUAUACUGUUCACUAUUAUAGACCCCACAUUGUAUUGCACGGCCCACAAAUGAAAACAUCUAUUUAUGUAAUUUUACAUGCAUGUAGAUCACACCUAUAUGUACAUGUGGGAUAUUUUUCAUACUUUUCUUAAUAUUCGAACUAUGAUCUUAAAUGUUUAAAAAUAAUGGAUGCAAGGAGCCCAGGCUCAAAAGAAGAAAAAAACCACACUAUACUUAUCCUUUUUUUCCGCUGUUGUGCAAUGUGUGUGCUUAUGUGAAUGCUUUACCUUUUGCUUAGUUAGUCCAUCCCUUUUCCACUUACUUGGAUGCUUACAAUUAUUAACUCUAGCCUUUGGUAAACUUGAUGUUGUAUGACUUGAUGCCAUUAUAUGGCGAAAAUAGGGGUGAUCGGCUUCCAGGUUUUUUUAUACCAUCGGUGCCUAGUACUUAGGGUGUAGACUGUAGAGUUAUAAUUUUGUGGUGUGUCCCUUUCUUCGGCUGUACAUAACUUAUCUUCUACCGAUGCAUCAAGACAAAAAGCUUUUUGCAUUUCCCAAAAAACUUGGUGCCAAGUGAACUCUUACACUGAUUGAUCGUGAAUGGACCGCCAAGCUUUUAAUGGAUGACCGAUAAGAAAAUACUAGCAUCAGAUUCAUGAUGUAAACCGAUUUUCAAUUAAAGUGAUAUAUUAAUUCCUCAAGCCAUUAGUUAGAGGUAACAUGCAAGUCAUACCUCAACCAGAAAAGCAUCAACUUUGGGUGCUUUGCAUUAGCUUCUUUCCUAUGCUGUUCAUGUGUACCAUUUCACAGUGCUGUUCGUUUCAUAUGAGUCUUAAAAGUUUGGUAUUAGUUUGCUCAAGUAAGUAUAGGUAUGCCUACAAUUCCCCUUCUGAACCCAAUUCCUUAAUUUGUGGUUGCGAGGAAAUUUUCGUAAGAUUCAGAUUAUAUGAGCAUAUUAUUUUUAAAAGAAAUUUAUGGCUUCUUACAGAUAUAUGUCGUACUUUUACCUUCACGAAACUUGAUUCAUUUGUUGCAUGUAUACAGGUUUUUUCAUAUGUCAGACACCAUUUUUGUUGAUGAUCAGUCUACCUGGGAGCCCCUUUUUAUACUGUCAUCAGUUGACACAGUACUCAGCACUCAGCAGCAUGUGUUCCACUAGUUAGUGGUUCAAUUCAUCAUUGCACGGCUUUGUCCUCGUGCAGUAAUAACAACUGGAGCUCUCAUGCUUCAUGGGCGGAUAUAAUCCUCAAAUGAUUGCUUCAAAAGAGCAUCAGGCGCAACUCAAAGGGAAGGUAAUGUUUUCACUUCUUUGAUCUUGUUGCUAAAAGUAUUAUGAGGAUUACUAGUCACUAGUUAGUACACUGUCAUACAUGCUACAGUUCGUUCCCUUUUGCAAAGUAACUACAAUUCUGUACAAACACAGACAUAUGAUCCACAUAAACAUUUUCACACUAGAUGAUGUCACAAGGACAAGGGUCGUGAUGCUGAUGCCUUUUGAAAUAUACCCUGUCCUGGAGCUAGGAUCGCCAGGGGGUCAUAGGUGUUUUUCCUCUGUUGAAAUGUGUCCCACCUUGCCCCAUAGUGGGCCUUCCACUCUGCUUCUGUGGUGUAGUUUGGCAGAUAUUGCUUCACCCCAAUACUUGCUUCGUUACAAAACUCUAUUAUCUGUCUGUUCAGGUUCAAUGUAUGUUCGAUGCUGUAGGGGCCUAGUGCCGAGGGUAGGAACCCGACCAGGUAGAAAAUCUCCCCAUCUGGUAUGACCACUGACGUUCUGUUGUCCCAUCUGCAUGAAACGAGAUGAGUCAUUUGCUAGGCAACAGUAUAACAUCAUGUAGUAUCAGAGUUUCUCAAUGGGGGUUUGUGAUCUCAGACAUUAAGGAGCUUUUACCUGGACUUGUUCGCUGGGUAGAUCAAUAUGGGACCAUUGUUAUUAUCUUUGAGGAUUUUUUCAAAGACCUCUGUCGCGAAUUUGUGGAUCGUGCUUCUGGGGAUGAUGAGAUUAAGCCAUGGGUGUGGGACUUCCCACAAGCCCUUAGCUCUUAGUUUCAACUCAGAUGAGUGCACCCUAUCCAAGAACUCCAUGUAAGUGACGUCUGUGUGGAAUAAGGAGGCGGGCGUGUAUCUAAGUUGAGAUAGUAGUGCAUUGACCUCCUGUAAACAUGAAUAAAUAUGGAAUUCAACCAGUCAGACAAUCUGAUAGCACUUAAUGUAUAAACAUAUUUAAUAACACAAGAUAAAUCGUUGCCUCACCUGUUCCAUGAUGUCAGCUUCUUCAGGGUUGAAGUUCUUUGUCAUCUCGAGGCAGAAGAGCACCUUUUUAUCUGUUUUGAACUGGCUAGCUCGCACCGCGUCCUGUGGAUUGAAUGAUGACCUCCAGUUGUUAAGGAUGCCUGUUUUGUUUAUGAUAACAAAACCCUCAAUGUAGUCGAAGGUCUUUUGUGCAGAAAUAAGCAUCUCCUGGUCCUCGGUGAAGCUCGCGAAAUCUAAGUAGAGAACUCUUAUCCACCUUACCUGUUGUACAUCCGAUCAACCCAUGAGCAUGCGCUUAUUAAAAUGUCACUAGCAUGGAUUUGCCAAAAAUGAGUUGUUUCGACUUACCAUCUGUGGAGCAGGCUCAAGAGCAAUCCUGGCCCGAGUGAUGAUGCCAAAUUGACCUAGACCUCCAAGAGCAGCAUGGAAGAGAUUAGAGUUCUGUUGAGGUGAGCAAGUGACAACGUCACCUCUUCCUGCAUUUGACAGUCAUGGUACAAAGUUAGAUACAUAAUUUACUCUUUUAGCUGUUCAAAUCAUCAUAAUAUAUAGGUCUGCCAUUACCAGUCACAAUCUCCAGUUCUUUCACAUUGCUGAUCUGUGGGCCAUGCCGGAAUGUCUGCCCGCUGACGCCCGCAUUUGAUAGUGUGCCCCCAAUUGUAAGAUGGAGGUAGUCUGUCCAUGACUUCGGUGCCAAACCAUACUUCAAUGUCUCGUUCAAGACAUUUAUCCAGAGUUCUCCUCCUGAGGCAUCCACAUAGGGUGACACACCAGGGUGGACCUUCAUGCUAUCACUCUGGAGGGAUUCCAUUCUGAUGACAAUCCCUCCAGCAGCCUGGGACUGCCCAUAUAGAGAGUGCCCAUGCCCACGAGCUGCUACUGUGAGUGCGGAGUGCUCACCCAUCAAGAACACAUGCCUCACAGUUGUGGCGAUGUCAGCCACUGAGCCUGGGUGGAGCACAGCGACUGGCAGGAAGCAAGAGAGGUUGCCGAAGUCCUGUGCAGCAGCAGACAAGUCAUGGAAGCUGAAAUGGCCGUCAAGGGAGAGUGCUCCCAGGGAUGCAGAUACAUCUUGUUUGGGCACAUGCAUGGCUGUGACUCCACCAAGGCCUAGCAACAGGAACAGCUUCAGAUACUGCAGGACUGGUUGCUUCAUGGCUCUUCUGUAGGUUUUGCAGAACAAACAAGUUUGGUGGUGAUAUUUGAGGAGAAAGAUGAAAGCUGUUUAGCUGGGUAGUAGUUCACUGCAAGAGCAUAAAGAUGAGAGUGGAGAUGGAGGGAGAGCAUGAGUUUUAAAGGAGAAAUGGAAGGGCAUGUAUGUGAACUGAUGCAGGAAGUGGUGCGGUCAAACGAGUCUAGGACACUGUUUGGUAGACCAGGAGACCCGUGCGACCGUGUGAGGACAGGCUGCUCGGAAAAUUUGGAUCAAGAUAUGUUUCAGUGGUGCAAUGGUUCCAUUCUAGAGUCUGGUAUUCAUUCUUUCUGGCUUCUGUUUUAAGCAUCUUGCGACAUCUGUCAGUAAGCCUAUGGAGGAAGGGCAAAAAGAUGCAUUCGCCCAGUAUGCUCUGUCUAUCACUGCACAUAUCACUCACUCUACCUUGGCCCUUGCCAGGAGAACAGUGACGGGGCAAAGAUCAAAUGUGUGCAGUUAACAGACAAAAAUAUUAAAAUUGCAUAUCUGAUGUGCUUCUCUGCAGGAUUGACCUUCUGAGCAAUUCAGAUGGUAGUAACAAAUUGAUUCAACUGGCAAACCUUAUUGCUAUCAAGCAGGGCCACUUGAUCCCUCAAAUUCAAUUGAUGUUUUGCAGGAGAAGCCAAGGUGUUAUCUCCGUGCUAUCAGAUUUGUUGUGACAAGCAUCCUGGUGAGCAUGUCUGAUAAAGCUUAUUCCCAGAUGUUUGUUCAGAUGCUGGGGGGCCGUUUUCUGUCUGCAUGCACAUCUAAUUUCUCAGAACAUGUAUAUCGGAAUGUGGCUGCUACCACCAGUGAUAAUACCUAAUAUCACUAUCCAAGAAUGACUUCAUAUACCUGGCUUUCCUUUCUAUGCUCUGUCUUGAGAGCACACGUAUUGAUCCGUCCC